CGGGAUUUUAUUUCUGCUGGCAGGUCUCGCAGCAACAAGAGCGCAAGAAUUGGACCUUGGCGACGCCUUUGGUGAUGAUGAUGAGAUCCCCACAGAGAAGCCAAAAGUGAAACCACCCCCACCCAAAAAGUCAGAUCCAGGAUUUGAUUUGUUAGAUGCUUUUGAUUCAGAGCCUAAAAAUCCUGCUGUUGUUCCCCCCAAAUCAGUGGAUGGUAA
Danio aesculapii is the source of this 216-nucleotide long non-coding RNA. RefSeq lists it as uncharacterized. The transcript is spliced from 5 exons. Lineage: Eukaryota; Metazoa; Chordata; Actinopteri; Cypriniformes; Danionidae. The record is from RefSeq and is a predicted model, not a curated record.